This 486-nucleotide ribosomal RNA is filed under the name uncultured bacterium. RNAcentral's name for it is "bacterial SSU rRNA". It matches the Rfam family "Bacterial small subunit ribosomal RNA", at positions 28 to 507 of the family's 1533-position model. The record is from RNAcentral.
GAUGAACGCUAGCGGGAGGCUUAACACAUGCAAGUCGAGGGGCAGCAUAGGGUAGCAAUACUCUGAUGGCGACCGGCAAACGGGUGAGUAACGCGUAUGCAACCUACCCUGUACAGGGGGAUAACCCGGAGAAAUUCGGACUAAUAUCCCGUAAUAAUAUCCGGAGGCAUCUUUGGAUAUUUAAAGUUCCGACGGUACGGGAUGGGCAUGCGUAACAUUAGCUGGUUGGUAAGGUAACGGCUUACCAAGGCUAUGAUGUUUAGGGGUCCUGAGAGGGUGGUCCCCCACACUGGUACUGAGACACGGACCAGACUCCUACGGGAGGCAGCAGUGAGGAAUAUUGGUCAAUGGGCGCAAGUCUGAACCAGCCAUCCCGCGUGCAGGAAGACGGCCCUAUGGGUUGUAAACUGCUUUUCCAGGGAGAGAAACUUACGCACGUGUUGCGUGACUGACGGUACCUGGGAAUAAGCAUCGGCUAACUCCGUG